GACGAACGCUGGCGGCGUGCCUAAUACAUGCAAGUCGAGCGAAGUUUUUCUGGUGCUUGCACUAGAAAAACUUAGCGGCGAACGGGUGAGUCACACGUAAAGAACCUGCCUCAUAGACUGGGACAACUAUUGGAAACGAUAGCUAAUACCGUAUAACAGUAUUUCUCGCAUGUGAGAUAUUUAAAAGUUGUUUAUGCUAACACUAUGAUAUGUCUUUGCGGUGCAUUAGCUAGUUGGUGGGGUAAAGGCCCACCAAGGCGACGAUGCAUAGCCGACCUGAGAGGGUGAUCGGCCACACUGGGACUGAGACACGGCCCAGACUCCUACGGGAGGCAGCAGUAGGGAAUCUUCCGCAAUGGGCGAAAGCCUGACGGAGCAACGCCGCGUGAGUGAAGAAGGAUUUCGGUUCGUAAAGCUCUGUUGUUAGGGAAGAAUGGAUAUGUAGUAACUAUACAUGUAAGAGACGGUACCUAACCAGAAAGCCACGGCUAACUACGUG
RNAcentral lists this ribosomal RNA (499 nucleotides) under uncultured bacterium. RNAcentral's name for it is "partial 16S ribosomal RNA". It matches the Rfam family "Bacterial small subunit ribosomal RNA", at positions 28 to 507 of the family's 1533-position model. The record is from RNAcentral.